RNAcentral lists this long non-coding RNA (1144 nucleotides) under Coturnix japonica (Japanese quail). RNAcentral describes it as "lncRNA (ENSCJPG00005018552.1)". The record is from RNAcentral. Lineage: Eukaryota; Metazoa; Chordata; Aves; Galliformes; Phasianidae.
AACUUAUGGGAAAAGAGGGGUAGAAAACUAUUCUGUCUCCCCACGUAGAAUCAUUUGAGUUGGAAGAGACUCAGAAUGUUCAUAUAGUCCCCUGUAAUGAACAGGAACAGCUACAGUUCAAUCAGGUUGCUCAGAGCCCCAUCCAGCCUUGAGUGUCUCCAGGGAUGGGACAUCCACCACCUCUCUGGCCAGUCUAUUCCAGUGCCUCACCACACUGCCAAAAACUUUCCUUAUAUAUGAUCUAGAUCUCCUCUCUUUUAAUUUGUAACCAUUUCCCCUUGUCCUAUUGCAACAUUCACAGCUAAAGAGGCUGUCCCUUUCUUCCAGAAGCCUUACAGUAACUUAAGAAGAGAGACCUCGGUCAUAACUCAUCCAAAGACCAAACGAGCAUGGCAAACCUUCCUUGCUGCAUAUGACUCACCCUUCACUUCUGCCCAUAGUUCCCUUAUCACAUAAGAGAUGCUACUCAUUCAGCUCUGAAAGGUAGUGCCUUGGGCUUCCUCUUGAUACCAUCCCACUGACUGGGUGUAAGUAGGCAGUGGAUGGCUUUAAUUUACUGACCAGCUGCACCUGGUUUCACAGUCAUUUGAAGGGAGAAGUGGAGACACGUUAGUACUGUCUUCUAGUUAAGGACCUUGAGUAGAGUAGGGAGAAUCUUCAGCUACAGAAAGCUGAGGGUAUUUUUGUUUCUCAUGUUAUAAGGACGGGAUUCGAGACUGGAUUCUGCAGAGAGCUACAGUCCCUCUUAAAGAAAGCUAUAGGUGACAGCUAAAGAUAUUUUGUGGCUCAAGGUGAAAAAGGCAUAAAUUUUGCUGCAUCUCAGCAAAGCAGUUGAAGAGGGGAUUCAGUCUUGAACUUUAAUCAUUAAAGGAUCUGCAAUGAGAGAUACUGUGACACCAACUGCUAUCAGUUUAGCAUGCAUGGGGAUAUGUGAAAGAAUAAGAAAUUUCCUUCAAUUCAAACCACACUUUUGUGGGUUCUUCAGACAAGAUGUGUCGCCAGAGCCCCACCACAGUCUGCUCCAGUACAUAGAUUUGUGUUUGUGUCUUGAAUUUGUGGAAUCAAGAGUUGCAUGGAAAUGAUCAUGAGUCAUAGAAACUCCUUAUUCUUCUAAUAAACAGCUACAGUGAGGUGGAGGAAAACA